Molecule: ribosomal RNA, 253 nt
Filed under: uncultured bacterium
Lineage: Bacteria
Description: partial 16S ribosomal RNA
Rfam family: Bacterial small subunit ribosomal RNA
Source: RNAcentral
UACGGAGGGUGCGAGCGUUGUCCGGAAUCACUGGGCGUAAAGGGCGCGUAGGCGGCGCGAGCAGUCGAUCGUGAAAGUCCGGAGCUCAACUCCGGAUCGGCGGUCGAUACUCUCGUGCUUGAGCACUGUAGAGGCAGAUGGAAUUCCGGGUGUAGCGGUGGAAUGCGUAGAGAUCCGGAAGAACACCGGUGGCGAAGGCGGUCUGCUGGGCAGUUGCUGACGCUGAGGCGCGAAAGCGUGGGGAGCAAACGGG